RNAcentral lists this ribosomal RNA (244 nucleotides) under uncultured bacterium. RNAcentral describes it as "partial 16S ribosomal RNA". It matches the Rfam family "Bacterial small subunit ribosomal RNA", at positions 90 to 334 of the family's 1533-position model. The record is from RNAcentral.
CGUGAGUGGCGGACGGGUGAGUAACGCGUGGGUAACCUACCUCAUACAGGGGGAUAACAGUUGGAAACGGCUGCUAAUACCGCAUAAGCGCACAGUACCGCAUGGUACCGUGUGAAAAACUCCGGUGGUAUGAGAUGGACCCGCGUCUGAUUAGCUAGUUGGUGGGGUAACGGCCUACCAAGGCGACGAUCAGUAGCCGACCUGAGAGGGUGACCGGCCACAUUGGGACUGAGACACGGUCCAA